AUGUUAUCAAGAAAGGUGGAGGGAUUAGACCCUGUGAAGCCUUAGCAACCCUUUAUAUUUAAUAAAGAAGGUGCUACAUUCUACUUAAUUUCUAAUUCAUUUAUUAGCAUAUUGGAUAGAUAACUC
This 126-nucleotide non-coding RNA is filed under the name Tenacibaculum maritimum. Its description in RNAcentral is "SAM". It matches the Rfam family "SAM riboswitch aptamer (S box leader)". Rfam says of the family: The SAM riboswitch is found upstream of a number of genes which code for proteins involved in methionine or cysteine biosynthesis in Gram-positive bacteria. The SAM riboswitch acts at the level of transcription termination control. The record is from RNAcentral. Lineage: Bacteria; Pseudomonadati; Bacteroidota; Flavobacteriia; Flavobacteriales; Flavobacteriaceae.